Molecule: ribosomal RNA, 560 nt
Filed under: uncultured bacterium
Lineage: Bacteria
Description: bacterial SSU rRNA
Rfam family: Bacterial small subunit ribosomal RNA
Source: RNAcentral
AUUGAACGCUGGCGGCAGGCUUAACACAUGCAAGUCGAGCGGGGGAGAUUGCUUCGGCAAUUGACCUAGCGGCGGACGGGUGAGUAAUACUUAGGAAUCUGCCUAUUAAUGGGGGACAACAUCUCGAAAGGGAUGCUAAUACCGCAUACGCCCUACGGGGGAAAGCAGGGGAUCACUUGUGACCUUGCGUUAAUAGAUGAGCCUAAGUCGGAUUAGCUAGUUGGUGGGGUAAAGGCCUACCAAGGCGACGAUCUGUAGCGGGUCUGAGAGGAUGAUCCGCCACACUGGGACUGAGACACGGCCCAGACUCCUACGGGAGGCAGCAGUGGGGAAUAUUGGACAAUGGGGGGAACCCUGAUCCAGCCAUGCCGCGUGUGUGAAGAAGGCCUUAUGGUUGUAAAGCACUUUAAGCGAGGAGGAGGCUCUCUUGGUUAAUACCCAAGAUGAGUGGACGUUACUCGCAGAAUAAGCACCGGCUAACUCUGUGCCAGCAGCCGCGGUAAUACAGAGGGUGCGAGCGUUAAUCGGAUUUACUGGGCGUAAAGCGUGCGUAGGCGGCU